CUUCCCUCCCAUCUAUGAGUUUCCCUAAUCAAAAUAUAGCAGCGUAAGACAUGAUAACUUGAGGCGAAAUAAGGAGCUGCGUACAGCUAAAAACUUGUAAAUAAUUGUGUUUCCUUUUGUGUAAGUGAUCAAGAUUGUUGUUUUUCCUUUUGUGUCUGUUUUGGUUCAGUCUAGUUGGCUAGAGGGAGUUUUAUGUAUGUUGGUGGAUAGGAGUCUAAUCAGCAGUGUUAUUAUGUUGUGUCUUGUGAAGGCCUGAUUACUUGGGGUGGGUGCUAGCAGCAACUUACUACAUAAUUGUGUUGCGUUAGUGAUGCUGAUUUUUCUGUUGAUGCUAGUCUGAAGUCAUAGUUUGAGUUGAUUUAUUACUAAAGUUAACCUGUUUACUUUGGUGAUGUAGGAUUAUGUUGACUAAUUACUUAUUCUUACUCAAUGGUCAGGUAACACUAUCCUACUAGCUCAAUUAGUAGAGCAUUGUGUUAAUGCACAAAAGAUGUGGGUAGGUUUAUCUUUACUUUUUGUAUUUUUUUAUUUACUUUUAGUUUGAAAACCUUUACUUUGGCCUUCAUAUACUCCAAUACUCGGUGUUUCUAUGUUGUACAAAUACUUCUAAUUUUUUUUUUGAUUUACUUUUGAGAUUUUUUAAUUUACUUUUGAGUUAAUUUUAUUUACUUUUGAUUUUUUUUUUUUUUUAAACAUUAUGCUCUUCUUGUUUUGUAGCAGUCUGGUUUGCUGACAUGUUAUAGCAUGCUCUCAUUUCAGUUGUGGGUUUUCGCUGCAGGGGGUAGAGUUGUAGCUGCUAGAGUAGCGCAGUGUAAGACAGGAUGGGAGCGGGAGACUUGGUUGUUAUCAAAAAAAAAUGCAGGGGAUGUGAUCAAUAGUGAACAAAUAGAGAUCAACACCAAUUAAGCAACAACGAGACAACAGACGAGAACUGAACACUCCGGAGCAGUGAAAACAACCACAACAUCCAGCUCUGCACCCCAGACUUAGAACAGCCACAAAAAGACCAGUAGAAACAAAUGACAGUAGCAGAGAACAACAUAGAACACCAUCAUAUUCACGAAUUUACUUCUGAGCCUAUUUGAUUUACUUCUACCAAGUUUUUAUCUACUUUUUAAAAUAAGAGAAAUACUACUUUAUGAGAGACUAUUUCAGGCAGCUUACCUAUGUAAACUUAUACUAGCAAUUAACCAUCUUCCCACUCAACAUCUUCGUCAUCGUUA
This is a long non-coding RNA of Spinacia oleracea (spinach), 1223 nucleotides long. RefSeq lists it as uncharacterized. NCBI's taxonomy places the organism in Eukaryota, Viridiplantae, Streptophyta, Magnoliopsida, Caryophyllales, Amaranthaceae. The record is from RefSeq and is a predicted model, not a curated record. The transcript is spliced from 2 exons.